Triticum aestivum (bread wheat) is the source of this 125-nucleotide non-coding RNA. The record is from Rfam. NCBI's taxonomy places the organism in Eukaryota, Viridiplantae, Streptophyta, Magnoliopsida, Poales, Poaceae.
UAUAUACUCCCUCCGUCCGGAAAUACUUGUCAUUGAAAUGGAUGUAUCUAGAUGUAUUUUAGUUGUAGAUACAUCCAUUUUCAUCCAUUUUGAUGACAAGUAAUUACGGACGGAGGGAGUAUAUG